ACUAUAAUCGACAAUAACGGUCAUCCUGGAGUCUCCGUUGGUCAAAGAUAGCCGCGAGUUUCAAUCAAAAUUGCGUAUGCUGAGGUUGAAGAGGAAGCGCCGAAAGAUGAGACAUAGAUUGAAGUAGAAGCACAUUCCGCAGUUCUCAACUGUUGGAGAAAGUAUCUUGAAGGUGAGUGGUUCCUUGCAAGAGACUAUUGGAGUGUAAUUGGGGCACAAAAUCAAAAUUAGAAUACCAAAUUAUGUUUACCGGUGAAUUACAGAGAAACACUUCCGUCGGUAUAAAAAAAGAAUUUUUGUCUGAGGUACCCUGAACCCUCUCCAUAUAUUGUUUGUUUGAAAUGGAAAAGGUUGAGCUUGAGACUACAACUCCUUCUUAGUUGGAACAAUGAAUUCAGGUGUACUUGUGAUGUCUCCUUCGAUACAAACAUUUGUUUUGGUUAUAUGUUCUCUAAAAGUAUUUAAAUAUGAAUAGUU
Long non-coding RNA from Solanum stenotomum, 477 nucleotides. RefSeq lists it as uncharacterized. NCBI's taxonomy places the organism in Eukaryota, Viridiplantae, Streptophyta, Magnoliopsida, Solanales, Solanaceae. The record is from RefSeq and is a predicted model, not a curated record. The transcript is spliced from 4 exons.